Molecule: RNA transcript, 806 nt
Organism: Populus euphratica (Euphrates poplar)
Lineage: Eukaryota; Viridiplantae; Streptophyta; Magnoliopsida; Malpighiales; Salicaceae
Gene name: probable protein phosphatase 2C 26
Exons: 2
Source: RefSeq, a predicted model, not a curated record
GUGGAUAGUUACUUGAGAGAGAGUCGAAGCGGGAGAUGGGGAUAGUUCCCAUAUUAAGGGCUUCGAUUUCUCGGUCUCUCCCAAUCCAUGUUCCAAAUAUAUCACUAUCAAAUCCGAAUUCAAUUCCUAGGAAAAACGAGUUGUUGUGCAGCUUCAUCCGAAACCAAAACAAUUCGGCGGUGAACUAUUUUUCUCAGUUUCUUCCUUUUCACUAAUUUAUUGAAAAUUGCAAAAAGAAAAACGCAAUAGUAAUGUAGGCAGUUAAGCCUGAACGGGAGCUCUCAAAAUUAGCUCCUUCAAAGAGAGCCAACUGGUAAGUGUUACCAGCACCUUAAAAAGGUUGAGAGAGGUGGAGAUGAUGCAUUCUUUGUUCACGACUACAAUGGCGGAGUUGUUGCUGUUGCUGGCGGUGUCUCUGGGUAUGAAACCGUACAUAAGUAUGUUACUAUUCCUUUUUAUCAUGCAUUUUUAUCACCCUAAAAUUCUUGGCAUGAAGCUCACUGCUGAAACUUCUUAUAUUACUGAUACUAAGACGAGUUUUGUUACCUCAACACCACCAGUGAGUUUCUUUGUUUGGCUGGUGGAAAACUUGAUGAUAUUACUGUGAUUUUUGGUCAGGUUGUGCGCUCGCAACAUAUAUUCUUCCCUUGACUGAGGAUCAAACUGGUGAACCUCGUAGAGAACAGGAAAAAACACUCGAAUCAUAGUUACGAAGUUCUUAUUUAUUCUUGGCUUCUUGGUUUUCUUGUAAAGUUCGAGGAUCCUGUAAUGACACCUAGGAAAUUAAAAGCGUCCACAUUUAAAUA